UAGCCAUGCUAGUUGCACGAGUUUAGACUCGUAGCAUAUAGCUCAGUAACACGUGGCCAAACUACCCUACAGACCGCGAUAACCUCGGGAAACUGAGGCCAAUAGCGGAUAUAACUCUCAUGCUGGAGUGCAGAGAGUUAGAAACGUUCCGGCGCUGUAGGAUGUGGCUGCGGCCGAUUAGGUAGAUGGUGGGGUAACGGCCCACCAUGCCGAUAAUCGGUACAGGUUGUGAGAGCAAGAGCCUGGAGACGGUAUCUGAGACAAGAUACCGGGCCCUACGGGGCGCAGCAGGCGCGAAACCUUUACACUGCACGACAGUGCGAUAGGGGGACUCCGAGUGUGAGGGCAUAUAGCCCUCGCUUUUCUGUACCGUAAGGUGGUACAGGAACAAGGACUGGGCAAGACCGGUGCCAGCCGCCGCGGUAAUACCGGCAGUCCAAGUGAUGGCCGAUAUUAUUGGGCCUAAAGCGUCCGUAGCUUGCUGUGUAAGUCCAUUGGGAAAUCGACCAGCUCAACUGGUCGGCGUCCGGUGGAAACUACACAGCUUGGGGCCGAGAGACUCAACGGGUACGUCCGGGGUAGGAGUGAAAUCCUGUAAUCCUGGACGGACCACC
RNAcentral lists this ribosomal RNA (614 nucleotides) under Haloarcula sp. I.B14. RNAcentral's name for it is "bacterial SSU rRNA". It matches the Rfam family "Archaeal small subunit ribosomal RNA", at positions 46 to 661 of the family's 1478-position model. Lineage: Archaea; Methanobacteriati; Methanobacteriota; Halobacteria; Halobacteriales; Haloarculaceae. The record is from RNAcentral.